This 740-nucleotide long non-coding RNA is filed under the name Naja naja (Indian cobra). RNAcentral describes it as "lncRNA (ENSNNAG00000015556.1)". The record is from RNAcentral. Lineage: Eukaryota; Metazoa; Chordata; Lepidosauria; Squamata; Elapidae.
CACCCACCCAUAGACUUAAAAUAUAAAUAGGCGCCGCCAGUACAAAACAGAAAACACAUGUAUGGGCAGGAAAGGAGAGAAAUUCGGGAUUGGAGUUUGUCUGGAAAAGGGCCCCGCUCGCCUCUGCGCAGCACCCCCUGAAGGACAGGAUGACUCCGGAAGGGCACCGCUGGCCACAUCUCCAAACCCGCUGCUUCCGGUCCAGAGAUCGAGGUGUCGUUGGGGCCCACAGACAGAUCUGUGUGGUGUUGCCUGCCUCGCUUGGAUUUCGGUCUCAGAUGAGGAGAAAGGCGGCCCACAAACCCAGGACGCAGCAGCUGCUACUCUGCACGAAAGCAACCAGACUUCUUGAGGACGCAGAGAGUCAACAAACAGCCUGUGCAGAUGGCAGCGGGAUCAGACAGUGGGGAAGAACAAGGACCUGUCCAGGAGUCUGGGGAGGACUCUGACGAGGGUCCUGCGUCCGAUGCAGAGAUGGCGCCAGGACCAUCGGGGACUUGUGUGCUGACUCCAGAGCCUUGGGAGUCUGGCAGCAGCGAGGCGGCGGACCAGGGGAGCCAGUUCCCAGUGCGCAUGUGCGCAGAGCUGCUAGAAGGCAAGAGCAGCUAAGACGAAAGGGGCAACUCGGGAAUAAGGCUUGGAGGUGAUUGGCCCUCCCACAAGGUAUAAAGGACAGGCAAAGGUAGAGAAACCUUUGCAGGAAGCAAAGUUGUUCGCUCUGUUAGGAUUAAACCUUGAAG